Molecule: long non-coding RNA, 768 nt
Filed under: Apteryx rowi (Okarito brown kiwi)
Lineage: Eukaryota; Metazoa; Chordata; Aves; Apterygiformes; Apterygidae
Description: lncRNA (ENSARWG00000001476.1)
Source: RNAcentral
CCUGAAACCUGGAGCACUAGGGAGCAGAGAUGUCCAAGCUGCUGCAAAGGAGCCCUGGGCAGAAGCAGUGCUGAGCUGGAGCUCGUAAGCCUGGCCAGAGCCCAAAGUGAGGAGCUGCUCAGGCUCCUGCUGCCUGGAAGUGAGCAAGUGGCUGGCCCUGGAAGAAAUACAGUGUCUGCACCGGGAGCAGCAUGAGCCACUGACUCUUCGUUAGCCAACUCUCCACCUGGCCUGAAGGGCAGGGAGAGGAGCUCGGGUGGUCCUCGAGGAGGAGAUCUACAAAGCCAGUAUUCCUUAAGUGAACAGAGUGGAAUAGCCUUUCCUAGCUCUACGGAGACUGUUAAUCACCUGAUGUGUUCUUAGCCUAAAAAAAACAGGAUUCUGGUAUUCCUGCCUGCACCACAUCUUUCAGCUGCAUUUUAGUGACUGGAUCAGCACUGGUAUUUGGUUGCCUGUGCGUGGUUCUCGCACUACUGCUGACCAAGAACAUGACCAUUCAGCAGCAGCCAGCUACAGAGCACGCAACUCCUAUAGAUUCUGCCACGUGAAGAAACACUCCCCGACUCGGCCCUGCUGCAGCGCAGUGCUGGAGACCGAAGGCUGGGCCGGGUGAGCCGGCUGUUACAGUGACUCGCUCCCGCUUACGGCGCACCGUGCCCUAAAGCGCUAGCAGGAGAUAAUGGCACUCGGCGCAAGGCAUUUCUUCCCUAAACGGAGAAGUAUCCUAUUACACUUACCUGCAAUGGACAGACUUGUCUGAAACCGCUA